RNAcentral lists this ribosomal RNA (462 nucleotides) under uncultured bacterium. RNAcentral describes it as "partial 16S ribosomal RNA". It matches the Rfam family "Bacterial small subunit ribosomal RNA", at positions 28 to 507 of the family's 1533-position model. The record is from RNAcentral.
GACGAACGUUGGCGGCGUGCUUAACACAUGCAAGUCGAGCGGAAAGGCCCUUCGGGGUCCUCGAGCGGCGAACGGGUGAGUAACACGUGAGUAACCUGCCCCAGACUUUGGGAUAACCCUCGGAAACGGGGGCUAAUACCGGAUACGACACAGCUUCGCAUGGGGUCUGUGUGGAAAGUUUUUCGGUUUGGGAUGGGCUCGCGGCCUAUCAGCUUGUUGGUGGGGUGAUGGCCUACCAAGGCGACGACGGGUAGCCGGCCUGAGAGGGCGACCGGCCACACUGGGACUGAGACACGGCCCAGACUCCUACGGGAGGCAGCAGUGGGGAAUAUUGCACAAUGGGCGGAAGCCUGAUGCAGCGACGCCGCGUGAGGGAUGACGGCCUUCGGGUUGUAAACCUCUUUCAGCAGGGACGAAGCGUAAGUGACGGUACCUGCAGAAGAAGCGCCGGCCAACUACGUG